This 405-nucleotide ribosomal RNA is filed under the name uncultured microorganism. RNAcentral describes it as "bacterial SSU rRNA". It matches the Rfam family "Bacterial small subunit ribosomal RNA", at positions 9 to 410 of the family's 1533-position model. The record is from RNAcentral.
GAGUUUGAUCGUGGCUCAGAUUGAACGCUGGCGGCAGGCCUAACACAUGCAAGUCGAACGGUAACAGGAAACAGCUUGCUGUUUCGCUGACGAGUGGCGGACGGGUGAGUAAUGUCUGGGAAACUGCCUGAUGGAGGGGAUAACUACUGGAAACGGUAGCUAAUACCGCAUAACGUCGCAAGACCAAAGAGGGGGACCUUCGGGCCGUCUUGCCAUCGGAUGUGCCCAGAUGGGAUUAGCUAGUAGGUGGGGUAACGGCUCACCUAGGCGACGAUCCCUAGCUGGUCUGAGAGGAUGACCAGCCACACUGGAACUGAGACACGGUCCAGACUCCUACGGGAGGCAGCAGUGGGGAAUAUUGCACAAUGGGCGCAAGCCUGAUGCAGCCAUGCCGCGUGUAUGAAG